CUUUCUUUCCACAGUUCCAGCUAAUUACGAUGCAGAGAAGGCAUGGAAUGAUCAUUUGAAGCGCAUGCAAGAAAUCGAGCGCAGAUACCCAUCUCGCUAUGGUCUCUAUUUGAGAGACAAGCCACUCACACCAAACUCUUUGGUGCCUUUGGAAUACGAGCCAGAGGAUAAGCUGUUGGCUGAACUCAACAAGGCACGCCGCUCGGCCUCGCCGUUCCGUCCCAGCCGCACGAGCCGGGCUGGCAGCGAGCCCUACGUGCCUCCGCCAGUCUACUGGAACCGUGAGAGCAGCGUGCCACGUGGUGGACCAUCGGUGUUCGAUCGGGCCACCAGCUUGGCUCCGUUCACGCGGCCAAGCUUCCGUGCCAGCUCGCUGGAGCCGUUGGAUGAACUCUUUGAAAGACUUCCAAUCUUCCAUCCACGCAACCGCUUCAGGGAUAUGCUGAGCCCCAGCCCCAAGCUGCCGAUCUCGUCGAUUGUGCGCGAUCCCUUCUGGUGGGAUGUGGAUGAUCUGGUGCCCUUCCGUGCCACCUCGGUGCCCCGCGCGUCGAGCCCCGUGGCCCGUGAUUCGUAUUUGUCGCCGGUGAAGAAUCGCUAUCUAUGGUCGAGACACCCAGCUAGACCCCUGACACCUGAGGCAGAGGAUAUUUUCUAAAACAUAAAAAUGAAACAUAAACAUCAAAAUAAAGCCAAAUCACAACUCAAAAUCGUUAGCUCUAAUAACAACCGAUGCUAUAUCACAUAGCACUUCUGUAAUUUUUUUGUACUUUAAUUUACAUAAAUUACAUGUAACGAAAUGCAAUACAAACAAAUUGCUCACCGCUCAAUUUUGUAAACGAACGAAAACGAACUAUGAAACAACAACAACAACUACACUUACAACAACAACAACAACAACGAAUGCAUCAAUGGGGUCCCCAAUAACCAACAACGACUAGCUUUUUGGUUUCCAAGUCAAGAACCGGAAAUCAGUGAAAGUAGCAAAAUAUAUCUAUAUAAAGACUAUAUAUAUAGCCUUUGAGUCCUCAACAACGAUUGAAUUUUUUCAAAACUGCCAGCCCCAGAAGAUCCGGGUGCUGCCUCCACUUUAAUAAUUGCCAUCAAGUGCUUACUUCCCGUAGUAAAUAUAAUAGCAAACAUAAUAUUUAUAUAAUAAAAGAAGGAGAAGAAUCCAAAGGGAAACCUUUUUAACAACAA
This 1197-nucleotide unclassified non-coding RNA is filed under the name Drosophila mojavensis. RNAcentral's name for it is "GI23663". The record is from RNAcentral. Lineage: Eukaryota; Metazoa; Arthropoda; Insecta; Diptera; Drosophilidae.